This 403-nucleotide ribosomal RNA is filed under the name bacterium. Its description in RNAcentral is "partial 16S ribosomal RNA". It matches the Rfam family "Bacterial small subunit ribosomal RNA", at positions 355 to 776 of the family's 1533-position model. The record is from RNAcentral.
UGGGGAAUAUUGCACAAUGGAGGGAACUCUGAUGCAGCGACGCCGCGUGAACGAAGAAGGCUUUCGAGUCGUAAAGUUCUUUUAUAUGGGAAGAUAAUGACGGUACCAUAAGAAAAAGCCCCGGCUAACUACGUGCCAGCAGCCGCGGUAAUACGUAGGGGGCUAGCGUUGUCCGGAAUCACUGGGCGUAAAGGGUUCGCAGGCGGUAAUGCAAGUCAGGUGUAAAAGGCAGUAGCUUAACUACUGUAAGCAUUUGAAACUGCAUAUCUUGAGAAGAGUAGAGGUAAGUGGAAUUUUUAGUGUAGCGGUGAAAUGCGUAGAUAUUAAAAAGAAUACCGGUGGCGAAGGCGGCUUACUGGGCUCAUUCUGACGCUGAGGAACGAAAGCGUGGGUAGCAAACAGG